UGUGCGCUUCUCAGCGGUGCUCAGCCGUGAGGAGCGCACACGCCGCACUUCGCCCAUGCCUUCGUCCUUUGUACAGCUGUUGCGCUGAUGGGGCAAGCGAGGCGCGCUGAUGCGAUGGUGCGGAAUGUGGGGAGGGAGACGACGGACGACGCUCUGCUUGAGCUAUCGAAGGUCACAUGCAAUGCGAGGUCCAUAUCCCUUCCCAGUCUUUCAGACACCUCCAGGCCCAGUGUCGCCUCCACCACCCCAUACACACACACACACACACAAACACAGAUCUGCGCCAUCCUCCUCCGUCUUUUUCGCCCUUCACGUGUAUGCAUACUGCCAACGGCUCUGCGCUACUCUCUCCUGCCCUCUCCCCCCGCUUGCCCUUCCCCUUCUCCCUGCCGUAACCGCUAUCACGCAUUCCCCCACCUUGUGGUGAUGGCAGCGCGCGCGUUGCCUCGCCGCCGCGCACACAGAAACGCAUGCAUUUGCCGACGGGGCAGGCUCAAUGACCACGCAGGAUGAGGGGGCAGAGCCGCAGUGGACUCUCCUGGUGUGCAUGCCCGAGUGUCAGGCAGCGCACGUCAGCAUCGUGCGUGAGCUGCGCGAUGAUGGCGUCGACAUUGUCGAGCGCCGAUUUGUACUGACACCCGAUCAGGCCCUCACCAUCGCCCAACAAUAUGCGCACCUGCGGCGGCGUGCGGCAGCGCUCGUCAGUUCUCCACGAGCGCUGCCGCGGAGGCAGGGGCCGGCAAGACAUCGCCGAAGCCGUUCCUGUCAGAGGCACAGCACCGGCAAUAGUCAGCGACGCUGUCUCAGCAACAGGCGGAGUCGCGAGCCGUGAGCGGCCAGUUGCUGGACAAAAUCAUGCGCCUCACUCAAAGGCAUCGAGCGCAUCAGCAAUCAGGGCCCUCGCCCGCCCCCACGCCUGGCAAGGGGGCGGGUGGCGCUUGCGAGGUGGCGCCGCGGCCAUUGCUCUCUGAGCUGCUCUCUCUCCGAGGAAAAGGGGCGGAUGGCGACGGCGUGAGCUCUGAGCGGACGUUAUCCAGCCAACACCGCUCACGCAGCUGCGAGCGCUGCCACCACUGGCACCACUGCAGCCGGGGCAGUUGCACCGGCACUAUAUCAGCGCUCUCUUCCCGGUGCGCUCUCCUCGCCGUCGGCCACAGCAUCGCCGAAGCGCUGCACCCCUGCCAAGGAUAGUCACACGUUCAUUACAGAUCCGCAGGUCCGGCAGCAGGUAGCGUCUCUCCUGCAGGAGGGGGGCACCGUGUUGGUGCUGCUCUUACGCGCCGUCAACGCUGUCGAGCGACUGGUGCGCCUGGCUGGCCCGCAGGAUCCUCUCGAGGCACGACGCGUCGUACCGGGACCCUGGUCUGCUCACUACGGUGUCGACGAAGUACGAAUGGGCGUGUACACACCGAGCAACCUUGCAGAUGCACGGGUCGCCGCCGAAAGUGUCUUUGGCGAGGCGUACGCGGGCCAGGCAGCCCACCGCAAGCCCCGGCUGUCAUGGGAGCGCAAAGCUCCGCGGGGUCGCCGGGGCAUCGCUGGCCACGGAAGACGCACUAGCGACCCCGCGGAGCUUUGCGCAGAUCCUCCCCACGCUGCGCGCCGGGGUGCCCGCCACGCAGCGUAUUUCCCCUACUACACCGGCGUGCAAGGGCCCACGGCGUCGGCUGCGACAACGUGCGCCACUAUCCCGACUGCGGCGGCAGAGGGAAUCGAUGCCGUGGCCCCUGGAGAGCGAGCCGCCGCCGUAUGCCCGAGCGCCACCCCACAGUACCCGCAGCGCCAAGCGAGGCUUGACGAGCUGGAUGACUUGCUGCGCGGCCACGAUGGCUGCUGGCCCUACACGCACACGCGCGCUCGUAUGCGUGUGCGUGUGCGUCCCGCCGUCGGGGUACAAGGAGCAGACGACGGCGAGCGGAAGAGUGAGUGAAGAUGCACACAAUGUGAACCGAAACAAGGGAAGCCAUACCCCCUCCCCCCCCCCACCACCACCACCACUGCUGCGGAAUGGGGAGAGGGGGGAGGUGUGCAGAUGGCGGAGAGGGCCGGCGCUGCUUGCGUGCAGCAGUGUGUUUCGCUCUCGCCCUUCUCGAUCAACACCCCCUCCCUCCCUCCCUCCCUCCCCCAUCCACUCCGGCACAUCUCACAAGAAAAUGAGUUGAACGAGAAACGGCGCGAGCGUUCACGGUCGCACCGCCACGCCACUCGCCCCACACUGGAGGACUCUACGUAGUCGCUCGACAGGCGGAUGCGGAUGCAGUGCUGCCUCCCCUGCUUGGCUGCAACACCUUUUGCCUACCCCCCACCCCACCCCUCUCUCCCAUCUCCCACCACUGCAGCAGCUUCGCUUGCUUGUCAUGCUCGUGCUCGUACUGGGGGGAAGGCAUGCAUGUAAUGCCCCGCCUCCUUCAUCUCCGCUCAUAUCAUGCUCCCCUCGCCGUCUUCUCUCUACCGCUACACCCUCUUGAAUACCUGUCUCUCGCCCGCCCCCUUCACACGCUCUCUGCCUCUGGUGCGCGCACCCGGGUGCGAAGUGUAUCUUCGGAUUCAGCGUCGCCUUGUUUGCAUCCUCCGUCGCUAUUAGCCGGUUUUCCUUUUUCCGCGUUGUGCGUGUCUCUGUCUCUGUUUGGUUGUCGUGCGCGUGCGUAUGUGCGUUGUCGUUGUGUUGAAGCCUCUGCUCAGCAUCUGACCCCC
RNAcentral lists this small RNA (2694 nucleotides) under Leishmania major strain Friedlin. RNAcentral describes it as "Leishmania major sRNA LMJF_10_ncRNA1". The record is from RNAcentral. Lineage: Eukaryota; Euglenozoa; Kinetoplastea; Trypanosomatida; Trypanosomatidae.